RNAcentral lists this RNase P RNA (324 nucleotides) under Salvator merianae (Argentine black and white tegu). RNAcentral describes it as "Nuclear RNase P (ENSSMRG00000014199.1)". It matches the Rfam family "Nuclear RNase P". Rfam says of the family: Ribonuclease P (RNase P) is a ubiquitous endoribonuclease, found in archaea, bacteria and eukarya as well as chloroplasts and mitochondria. Its best characterised activity is the generation of mature 5'-ends of tRNAs by cleaving the 5'-leader elements of precursor-tRNAs. Lineage: Eukaryota; Metazoa; Chordata; Lepidosauria; Squamata; Teiidae. The record is from Rfam by way of RNAcentral.
CGGGGAGGAAGCUUGCUGUAGAGGCCACGUGCUAGGUGUCCUUCACUCUUUCUGCACCUCUGUGGGAAGGUCUGCAGCACGGGCCACAUACCACCCUAGCAGGGUGCCACUUCUUGAAGGCGGGUGAGUUCCCAGUAAUCUGGGUCUCUGGCACAGCCUAAGAUUGGGGCAAGAGAAGCGAUGGAGGGGCUCAUUCCUCUCCACACGGAUACCUCUGUGGCUUGACAGAAAUUUGGGAAUGACUCAACAGUAAGCAACUAUGGGCAGAUGUGAAGCAGAAGCUGUGGCAGCUUCAUAACCCAAUUCAGACUAGUCGCUUCCCAG